This 108-nucleotide transfer RNA is filed under the name Yarrowia lipolytica. Its description in RNAcentral is "tRNA-Leu". The record is from RNAcentral. Lineage: Eukaryota; Fungi; Ascomycota; Dipodascomycetes; Dipodascales.
GGUAUCCUGGCCGGCGCGGUCUAAAGGCGCCAGGUUAAGGCUAAUAUCUUAACCGAAUUUCCCUGGUCUCUUUCGGAGGCGUGAGUUUCGAAUCUCAACGGAAUAUCA